UCAUCUAAUAGUUGUGUUGUAAAUGUGUGUUAUGCCUGUGUUUAGACCAUCUAGAUUACAUUUCACUGUUGUGACCCAAAGCGUUCUUGAGAGCUCAAAGAAACGCAACUAUUUUGUUUGUCCAUAUGUAUUGUUUAUAAAUAAAGUGUUUGUUUUUAGCCCUUUCUGUGUGUUAAAAAAAAGAACUUUAUUUUAUAAAUAUUUAUUAGUUCAGAUAUUGGGUUGGCAGGUAGUCUAGUGGUUAGCGCAUUGAGUCUGUUCCCCAGGAGGCGUCAUUGUAAAUAUACAUUUGUUCUUUAACUGACUUUGCCUAGUUAAAUAAAAUAAAUUGGGCCCCUGUAUAGUAUGAGAUUUGCAACACACAUUGACGAGAAUGGGGUGGGGAAAAGUCGAAUUAAGGAAGUACAGUUUCACUCAUGUUUGCCCCUAGGAAAAAAAUAUUUUUAUUAAAGCAUUGUGUGUGUUUAUUGAUUUAAUUCAGUUUGCCUUGAGACAUCAAGGCCAGCUUGAUUUUCUGGUUGGUGUUCUGCGGUUGCGCAUUCAGUUGUUACCGAAAACUCGUAAGUAAAAUCACAUGAUUUGUGUCUUGUCAUAUGACAUUGAUGAGGGCGACAAGCAACCAGCGACUCACUGUGGACUUCACUAAAAGAAGGAACCCUAAACUGUCAGGGAUGAAAUUCUUAACUUUUUUGUGCCGAUAAUAUGUGGAGUAUGGAAUGUUGGGGAGUUUUGUCUACGAUUGCUGCCGCCUGUCUGUUAGGUGUGGUGGUGAGCCAGACGACGGCUCCCACAAUGGCUCCUGCUCUGAUGAACACCACAUUCAUUGAGAAUGUGACGGCGACCACCAGAGUCAGUGAGACCACCACAGUCAGUGAGAAUGUGACCUUGACCACACCCAUGAUCCUCAGCACCACAUCUCCAGGCUGCUCUGCCCUCAACACCUCCACCUGUGAGACCUGUGUCCCAGGGUCCUACUCUGACAAUGACACCCUGCUGUGUUCCUGUUGCCAUGAGCCAGGGCUGUGUCUGUUCGCUGGGGCUUGCCUCCCAUGUUCGAGAGGGUUCUUUCAGCCUCUGGCUGGACAACAGCGAUGUCAGCCCUGCAGCCAGGGUUUUUACACCAAUUUUACCGGCAGCCUUAUGUGUCAGUCCUGCUCCCCAGGCUCCUACAGCAACAACACAGGCUCCGACUCCUGCCGAAGCUGUUCUCCAGGUUUCUAUACAUCACAACAAAAUGCCACAUCGUGCAGUCCAUGUCAACAGGGAACGUUCUGCAACUCCUCCAGUUGUGCUCUGUGUCAGAUCUGUCCUGCUGGUACAGAGUCUCUGCAGCCAGCUGCCAAGGAGUGCACACCUUGUCGUCCAGGUAUGCACAAGGCUCCCCGUCAGAGUAUGUGUCAAAUCUGCAGCAGCGGAUUCUUCCAGAUCCGCUGGGGCCAGGAGACCUGUAACCUCUGCCCUGAAAACCACUACUGCCCAAGUCCAGAUGUGAACCCCAUCCUGUGCCCCGGUGAUGCCUUCUGUCCUGAAGGCAGCACUGCUCCAGGUUACUGCAUGGAGACCUUCUUUCGCAAGGCAGGGGAGGAGUGUGAGCUGGCCCCCGUCACCAUUGCUCUACUUGUCAUCGGAGGAGGAGUGGCCUUACUCUUCGUCAUCCUGCUGGUGUUGCGUCGAAGGCGAGACACAGACGGAGAGCUUUCCCUCGUACGACAACCUCUGUUACGCAAAGAGCGGCCGCAAGGUCGAUACUACGGGAUCCCAUGUGAUGCCGAGCCAGUAUACGCUGGUUGGUGAGCAUGUCCCCAGCCCCAUCAGAUGCCUCCAAUUAUUGGGGUCAAAUGUCUGGCUUUCAGAGCAGAAUCAGCUGAAUUCUAUGUGCCUCAGCUUUGGACUAAUGGACCAUAAGAGAAAGCAAACUCACACCAAAUCCUAGCCAUGGUUUACUAUGUCCAUUUGAGUACUUUUGAUAACUCACCAGCUCUUUCAUGCGGUACGUCUUUUAGAUGUAUUCUUUUAUUUAUUUAACUAGGCAAGUCAGUUACGAACAAAUUCUUAUUUUCAAUGACGGCCUAGGAACAGUAGGUUAACUGCCUUGUUCAGGGGCAGAACGACAGAUUUUUACCUUGUCAGCUCGGGGAUUCAAUCUUACUAGUCCAACGCUCUAACCACUAGGCUACCUGCUGCCGUCAUUCUUGACAAGCAGAAGUGUUUUUCUUCUGUAUUUUGUGCUUUAGUGAACCCUAUUACAUUUGUUAAAAAGAAAAACACUGUUCUUUAAAAGAAAAGUAUAUUUGUAUGAUUUAAAGAAAAAACACUGACUCCAGUCCAGGGUAUAUACUGGAAUAAAGCACAACUUUGCACUACUUAAGUGAAAUUCUGUUGUAUAAUUACUAGCCUAUAAAAUAAGAUGCAGGCUGAAGGUAUUUCCAUGAUGCAAGUUUAUUAACAAAAUGUCUGUAAAACACCAAAAGGAUGUUUCAUGAGGUGUGCGAGCAAGAAAACUAACUUUUUACAGGAUCGCGUACUGAUUGUCCUAAUGUGGUACACCGUAGUAGUUCAUUGCGUAACAAAAAUAGAUGGGGGGCCACCAUGGCAAGGAACGUCUCUGGUAUGUAAUGCUUUGCCACAUUAUUCAGAUAAUAGCUACCUGUGAUCAAUUCAAUGUUUUCUGUAAACUCUAUUGCUCUGUUUUACAAUCAUAAUAGCUAAUCUCUUGCCUAACAAGGCAACUUUCAUGGCUAUGAUUACCACAUUCUAAGGUUAUCAAAUGCCAGCUCAUACAUACUCUAGUCAGAUUAAUCGGUAGUUAUACACUGAGUAUACAAUACAGAAUGUUGAGUAAAAUUAAUUUAAACGUACUCUACUGGUUGUCUGUGGUUUGUCCGGCUGCUUGAAAUUUGAGACAAAAUAUUCUCAGUAUUGUUUACCCGACUUAGAGAGCUGGUAGGUAUGGUUCGGUUAGGCACCAAGGUAAAAAUUUGCUUUAAAUUUGAUAUUUGGAUUUUAAACCCCCCUCAACAAAAAAAAAAGUGUGGAUUGUAUCUGUUUUUACCCAACUCAGUAUAUGGCGGCAAUACACCUUUUUGGAUGUAGUCUGCCAAUACAAUCUUAAAAGGGGUUUUCUGCUUGUUUAAAGCUGUGUACAGUUCGUUAAGCGCCAGUUCGCCCCCCCCCUCAAUUUGCCCCACCCUCCUGUCCGCCAGGUGAAUGGAGAAUCCAUCGAGUUGGAUAGCUAUGGGGGGGUGGGUAUCUUGUCUGAGAGCCAUGUUUCUGAAAAGCAAAGAAUAUUGCAGUUCCGAGAGUCCAGUCGGUAGCAAAUCCGCGAUCGGAGGGGAUCUAUUUUAUUAUCAAGUGACUGUUUUUUUCCCUUUGCCUUACUCUCACCAGGAUCCCCCUUCUCUUGUCUCUAACGUCGGCGUUUACUUUUGGGUAGCCCGAAUUUCAGGUUGGAAUUAGAGAGUCCAGGGCAGAUGAGUCGAAGUAGAAGGCAGAAUUGGGGUACAAAUGGGUCCAUGAAGGAUACGAAUGUUUUGCCAGCUGCAUACAAUGCGUUUGGAUAGUAAAAUGAAACAACUCAAUAUCGCCUCGCCAUCUGCUGGCCUUUGGGCUAAAACUGCCUUGACAACCAGUACGAGUAAGUUUAAAUGUAUUUUUAUUCAACAUUCUGGUUUGUAAGGAACAUUUACAUGAUUUUGCACACAUAUGUUUCAGGGUGUAGGCCUAUAUACCAAUGAAUUGUGUAUUACAGCCUGAUUAAUCAGACUAGCCAUACUCAUGCUAGCUUGCUAGCUAUUUCUAUGGUCAAUGUGUUGCUAACGUGUAGUGUAAUGCUAAUGAAUAUACAAGUUAGUGCCAAAAUAAUGGACGAAUUUGAAUAAAUGAGGGAUACAAAGUAUAUUGAAAGCAGGUGCUUUCACAAAGGUGUGGUUUCCUGAGUUUAUUAAGCAAUUAUCAUCGCAUCACGAUGGGGCUGUAGUGGAGCAGGUUGAGCACUUCAAGUUCCUUGGCGUCCACAUCACCAACAAACUAACAUGGUCCAAGCACACCAAUACAGUCGUGAAGAGGGCACGACAAAACCUUUUCCCCCUCAGAAGACUGAAAAGAUUUGACAUGGGUCCUCAGAUCCUCAAAAGGUUUUACAGCUGCACCAUUGAUAGCAUGUUGGUUGCAUCACUGCCUGGUAUGGCAACUGCUCGGCCUUCAAAAAGAGGGUGGUGCUUGGAAUCAUUGUUAUUCCUCUGUCAACCAAGGUUACCUGCAAGGAAACACGUGCAGUCAUCAUUGCUUUGCACAAAAAGGGCUUCACAGGCAAGGAUAUUGCUGCCAGUAAGAUUGCACCUAAAUCAACCAUUUAUCAGAUCAUCAAGAACUUCAACUUCACAGUACUAUGUGAUUGCAGCCCCCACCGUUACAGGAUGACCUGUUGGGGUGUCUGGGUGGCAUUAGCAGACAGACAAGCCCAUGCAGGGGUAGUAAGCACAGAACUCUGCACAGUUUGAUGAUGGAUUAUGGUGGAGAAACGACAUAUCUUCUGCCCCCUGGCAAACAGUCAAUGACCUCUGCAAGCCUAUGAAUACAAGAGACGGAAAUUCCUAAAAUUAGGCAAGCCAUUUAGCUACUUUUUCACAACUGAUAACAGUAGCAUAUACAGCUAACUGCCAAACCUAAGGAAACACCAACCAAGUAUCUAAGUAGGGUAUUGGGCCACCACCAAGUGUCUGAAAGUGUCUGAAACGCUACUGAAGGGAUGCGUCUCCAUUCUUCCAAAAUAAAUUCCAUCAAUUGGAGCUCUGUAGAUGGUGGUGGAAAACGCAGUCUCAGGCGCCACUCCAGAAUCUCACAUAAGUGUUCAAUUGGGUUGCGAUCUGGUAACUGAGACAGCCAUGGCAUAUGGUUUAUAUAAUUUUCAUUCUCAUCAAACCAUUCAGUGACCACUCUUGGCCUGUAGCUGGGGGCAUUAUCAUCCUAUGGGGGCAUAGCCAUGGUAGCCAAAAUCAAAUCAAUGUUAUGUCACAUGCGCCGACUACAACAGGUGUAGACCUUACAGUGAAACGAUUACUUACCAGCCCUUGAUCCAACAAUGCAGUUAAGAAAAUACCUUUUAAAAAACUAUUUUAAAUAAUUCAAGAGCAGCAGUAAAAUAACAAUAGCGAGGCUAUAUACAGGAGGUACCGGUGUCGAGGUAAUAUGUACAGUCGUGGCCAAAAGUUUUGAGAAUGACACAUUAAUUUUCACAAAGUCUGCUGCCUCAGUGUCUUUAGAUAUUUGUCAGAUGUUAUUAUGGAAUACUGAAGUAUAAUUAUAAGCAUUUCAUAAGUGUCAAAGGCUUUAAUUGAUAAUUACAUGAAGUUGAUGCAAAGAGUCAAUAUUUGCAGUGUUGACCCUUCUUUUUCAAGACCUCUGCAGUCCACCCUGGCAUACUGUCAAUUAACUUCUGGGCCACAUCCUGACUGAUGGCAGCCCGUUCUUGCAUAAUCAAUGCUUGGAGUUUGUCAGAACUUGUGGGUUUUUGUUUGUCCACCUGUCUCUUGAGGAUUGACCACGUUCUCAAUGGGAUUAAGGUCUGGGGAGUUUCCUGGCCAUGGACCCAAAAUAUCUAUGUUUUGUUCCCCCGAGCCACUUAGUUAUCACUUUUGCCAAGGUGCUCCAUCAUGCUGGAAAAGGCAUUGUUUGUCACCAAACUGUUCCUGGAUGGUUGGGAGAAGUUGCUCUCGGAGGAUGUGUUGGAACCAUUCUUUAUUCAUGGCUGUGUUCUUAGGAAAAAUUGUGAGUGAGCCCACUCCCUCGGCUGAGAAGCAACCCCACACAUGAAUGGUCUCAGGAUGCUUUACUGUUGGCAUGACACAGGACUGAUGGUAGCGCUCACCUUGUCUGCUCCGGACAAGCUUUCCAAUCCCUGUACCUUUUGCAGAAUAUCAGUCUGUCCCUGAUGUUUUUCCUGGAGAGAAGUGGCUUAUUUGCUGCCCUUCUUGACACCAGGCCAUCCUCCAAAAGUCUUCACCUCACUGUGCGUGCAGAUGUACUCACACCUGCCUGCUGCCAUUCCUGACCAAGCUCUGUACUGGUGGUGCCCCGAUCCCGCAGCUGAAUCAACUUUAGGAGACGGUCCUGGUGUUUGCUGGACUUUCUUGGGCGCCUUGAAGCCUUCUUUACAACAAUGAAUACUUUUGCAAGGCACUGUACAGUUGUUGGUUAGCUAGCGAAUUUUAGCCAUAGACGUGACAUGAGUCAAAACACCUAAAAAAUACACUUUAUCAAUAACAUGAUACAACAAUCUGAACCAGACACUUAUUAUUCACCACAUGGCAGCUUCUUGUCAUUGUUGCUAGUUCUCUGACUGUCCAGAAUCAUAACACCACACAGCCUUCUGUCUUCAGAAUCAUAACACCACACAGCCUCCCUUCCACCACACCCACAUAGAGGGAUUUAGGUUGUGAUGGUAUAGCUGGAAAUGUUGUCUUGUCGUUGAAUCAAUUGUCUAAAUAAAAUGCUUCUUAAAAUGUAUUACCUAUUAAAAUAUAAUACAAAAAAAUA
This is an RNA transcript of Oncorhynchus kisutch (coho salmon), 6534 nucleotides long. It is a transcript of the gene named sushi, von Willebrand factor type A, EGF and pentraxin domain-containing protein 1, with no coding region annotated. NCBI's taxonomy places the organism in Eukaryota, Metazoa, Chordata, Actinopteri, Salmoniformes, Salmonidae. The record is from RefSeq and is a predicted model, not a curated record. The transcript is spliced from 10 exons.